Molecule: long non-coding RNA, 1247 nt
Organism: Myzus persicae (green peach aphid)
Lineage: Eukaryota; Metazoa; Arthropoda; Insecta; Hemiptera; Aphididae
Exons: 2
Source: RefSeq, a predicted model, not a curated record
AAUAUAUUUUUUUUACUUGUCAGUUUAUAAAAAAAAAUAAUGUGCUAUUAUUUAUUAUAUAUUAUAUUUAUAGUCAUAUUAUAUUCCGUUUCUAUCUUAGAAAUGAUAUAGUUGGCUUUUUCUGAUUAUAGCUAAAGUCAAUCGAUAGAUACCCACAACGCUAUACGUUCCAGUUUUGAUCUUAAAGAAUUCUUUAUAGAAUUACAUAAUAUGAAAUGUCUUGGUUUUAUGGUUUUGAAGCAUAGGGAAACAUGGGUAUCCGGAUAUUUCACCGCAAUUAUUUCACCGCGCGACAAUUCACCGCCAACAUUUCACCGCAUUUAUAACUCACCGCGUGCACAAUUCACCGCGCAUACAAUUCAUCGCAGUUGUUUUUUUGAUAAUGUAAAAUGUAAUAAACCAAUUUAUCAGUCGAUGUCUAUAUAUUAAAUUACGACAUGGCAUUUUUGAUAUGAUGAGCCAUUAAGUUUAUCUUACUGAUACAAAUUGAUUUCCUUAUCCAAAAUUCUAAAUUUAAAAAUAACCAGAUACAUUUAACUAUACGAUUAUACACGUUACUGAUUAUUGAAUUAUUGUGUCGGCAUCGUCCAGUACGUAUAUCGACGUUUACGAGAGUGUUUCAUUUUAUAAUCAUGAAUAAUAUAUCGUAUAUUAAAAGUGAACGGGGUAAAGAUAAAUUAAUAUUAAAAGGGUACAUUUAUAUACUUGAAAAACAAGGUUUAAGUAAAUUAAUAUGGAAGUGUGAAAAUUAUCAGAAGAUAAAAUGUAAAGGACGUUUACAUGUUUGUAAUGACGAAAUUAUAAAAUAAUUUAAACAUAAUCAUGUGCCGGACUGUGCAAAAGUUGAAGUAUGCAAAGCAAUCAACGAAUUAAAAGAAAAAGCUAUCGAACGACUCGAUUUAAGAACACGUGCAGUCUUAGGUUCAAUUUCGACAUCUUUAACUACUUCAGCAACAGCGCAUUUACCUAAAUUAAGUUCUCUUAAACGAACGAUUCGGCGGAUAAGAAAUGAGGAAGAUACUUCACCACCAAACCCAAAAUCACUAAGUGAUUUAAUGAUUCCCCAAAAAUACCAAUUGACGAACGAUGAACAACCAUUUUUACUGUACGAUAGUGGUCCAGGAGAAGACCGAAUACUUUUAUUUUCGACCGAAAGAAAUUUACGUCUUAUGGAAAACUGUAAACAUUGGUAUGCAGACGGAACAUUUUCGACAUCGCCUUCAUUGUUUACUCAAAUAUAUACGGUA